AUAGAGUCUGAGGUGUAUGCAGAAUUCCAGCGGAUCACAAACCAGAACUUGCGCAACAUAUUCUAUGCAGAGCUUGAUCGUCACAUCCCACGCUUGAUGACCUUGUUUAGGCAGAAGGCAUCCAAAACUGGAAAGAUUGCAGAUUCUUUGGCUGGCAUUUUGAAAGUCCAUGACGAACAGGAAUUACAUGAUAUACACACAAAACGUACAACUGUUCUCCAUGCACUUCCUGUGUUUCUG
Molecule: long non-coding RNA, 240 nt
Organism: Polypterus senegalus (gray bichir)
Lineage: Eukaryota; Metazoa; Chordata; Cladistia; Polypteriformes; Polypteridae
Exons: 3
Source: RefSeq, a predicted model, not a curated record